CAGGCAGCGUGACUUCGGGCGACGUUUGCAGGAAACGACCCAUCCUUGCCUCUCUCCCCUGAAAUUGCCCCCUGGGGUUAAGCCUUGCCCUCUCCUUCCAGUCGACUCCCAGACCCAAAGUCCAGAAGGGCGCCACACCCUCCCUGUGCACUGACCUGCGGGGCAGCAGCUCUAGGGGUGGCGACCGCAGCCCUCCGGCCACGGCGCGGGGCGGGGGAGUCGGCAUGGGUAGACCACUGCCUGACUUCCCCUCCCCUCCCGCAUGCUUCCCGGUCACCUGGCAGACUGUCCCCAGCUCAGAACAAGCCCACCUGCCUCCCUGCUAGUGGCCGGGCUGGGCUGGCAAUUCCUGCCUCUCUGCACCCGCCAACAUCCGGGCUGCCGUUGUGCUUUGAAUCCCAGCAAAGCUGCCCUGUGGCCAACACAGACGAUCUGGCAGGAGUCCAAGACUUCUGGGUUAGAACCCCAGCUUGCAAUGCACCACCGAGCAAUACUUUGUCAUGCAUUCAUCCAGCAAAUUCUUGAUCAAUAUUCACCCCACUGCUGCGGGCCAGGCUCUGCGCUAGAAGCACAGGCACAGCACUGAGCGAGGUGCACGGGGUCCCUGCUUUCUUCUUCUGGGAGAGACGGACAACAAGCAAAUGAGCAAACGGCAGGUGGUGAUUGCUCUGCCCAUAAGAUGCCUAUUCAUUACAAAGAAAAAAAUAGCAACACAGUACAGAAACCUGGCAGACAGCACCGUCACCAAGUGAUCAAAGUAAACACCAC
Herpailurus yagouaroundi (jaguarundi) is the source of this 768-nucleotide long non-coding RNA. RefSeq lists it as uncharacterized. The record is from RefSeq and is a predicted model, not a curated record. The transcript is spliced from 3 exons. Lineage: Eukaryota; Metazoa; Chordata; Mammalia; Carnivora; Felidae.